RNAcentral lists this long non-coding RNA (841 nucleotides) under Spirodela polyrhiza (greater duckweed). RNAcentral describes it as "long non-coding RNA (SPOL_LNC000627)". Lineage: Eukaryota; Viridiplantae; Streptophyta; Magnoliopsida; Alismatales; Araceae. The record is from RNAcentral.
AGAGAGAGAGAGAGAGAGAGAGAGAGAGAGAGAGAGAGGGAUUUUGACCCAGAAUCAUUCCAGAAGAGGGAUCCUGCCUUCCUUGAAGGGUUGACUUUAAAUUAUAUUUUCUGUCGGAAUUUUUGAAGAAAUGGAUGCAGUAGGCAGUGGGUCGCCAGGAGCUGCCAAUCCCAACAUGGAAAGAUCAGAUCUCAAGGGUUCAUCAGAGUCGACAUCCGUUACGAGUAGGCCCAUUAUUAGACAGAGAGGAUCAAGAGAGAGAAAGAAGCGAGCAGAGAGAGAGACAGAGAGAUCCCACCCAAGAACAGGGAUGAGAUCACCACCCAGAUCCAGGGAUCCUCACCUUGAAAGAGCUCUGGAGGUCCUCGUCGACUGCUGCACCGGAAAUGGAAAAGGGAGGAUCGAGUUAAAAAAAGAGGGUAAACGAAAGAAGGGCUCUUCCUCUUCCGGCGAGGAGCGAGGCAGAUUUGGUGAGGUGGAGAAUGGCCGCUAACCUUCCUCCAUGAGAGCUCUGAACUUCUUGACUGCCUCCUGAGAGCCGGAGCCCAUCUCGCCGCCACUCGCCGCCUCUCGCCGCCUCUUUCCGCCUCGCUGCGUCGGGGUUUGCCUCCUGGCGGCGCGGCCGCUGCGGCGGAGGGGCGAGCAGAAGGAAGGGCGGUCUGCAAAAUGGAGAGAGCUCGCCCACUAGAGAACUGCAGGUGGAAGGAGGACCCUUCCUCUUGAUGCCCCAGAUGCUUCAAUCGAGGUGGACUCGGAAAAAAAAAAAGAGAGGAUGAAAAAAGACAGGCCCCAUUAUGAAAACUGUACAAACAAACUUGAUUUUCUCGUGCCCACAGUGAGA